RNAcentral lists this ribosomal RNA (305 nucleotides) under uncultured bacterium. RNAcentral's name for it is "bacterial SSU rRNA". It matches the Rfam family "Bacterial small subunit ribosomal RNA", at positions 335 to 638 of the family's 1533-position model. The record is from RNAcentral.
GCCCCUACGGGGGGCAGCAGUGAGGAAUAUUGGUCAAUGGCCGAGAGGCUAAACCAGCCAAGUCGCGUGAGGGAAGGAUGUCCUAUGGAUUGUAAACCUCUUUUGUCAGGGAGCGAAGUCACCCACGUGUGGGUGUUGGAGAGUGCCUGAAGAAAAAGCAUCGGCUAACUCCGUGCCAGCAGCCGCGGUAAUACGGAGGAUGCGAGCGUUAUCCGGAUUUAUUGGGUUUAAAGGGUGCGCAGGCGGAUUUUUAAGUCAGCGGUCAAAUCGUGGGGCUCAACCCCAUCCAGCCGUUGAAACUGGGG